Molecule: ribosomal RNA, 490 nt
Filed under: uncultured bacterium
Lineage: Bacteria
Description: partial 16S ribosomal RNA
Rfam family: Bacterial small subunit ribosomal RNA
Source: RNAcentral
AGUGAACGCUGGCGGCAGGCCUAACACAUGCAAGUCGAACGGCAGCACAAGAGAGCUUGCUCUCUGGGUGGCGAGUGGCGGACGGGUGAGGAAUGCAUCGGAAUCUGCCCAUUUGUGGGGGAUAACCUCGGGAAACCGGGACUAAUACCGCAUACGACCUACGGGUGAAAGCAGGGGAUCUUCGGACCUUGCGCAGAUGGAUGAGCCGAUGCCGGAUUAGCUAGUUGGGGGGGUAAAGGCCCACCAAGGCGACGAUCCGUAGCUGGUCUGAGAGGAUGAUCAGCCACACUGGGACUGAGACACGGCCCAGACUCCUACGGGAGGCAGCAGUGGGGAAUAUUGGACAAUGGGCGCAAGCCUGAUCCAGCCAUGCCGCGUGUGUGAAGAAGGCCUUCGGGUUGUAAAGCACUUUUGUUGGGAAAGAAAAGCAGCCGGUUAAUACCCGGUUGUCAUGACGGUACCCAAAGAAUAAGCACCGGCUAACUUCGUG